Long non-coding RNA from Thalassophryne amazonica, 6101 nucleotides. RefSeq lists it as uncharacterized. The record is from RefSeq and is a predicted model, not a curated record. Lineage: Eukaryota; Metazoa; Chordata; Actinopteri; Batrachoidiformes; Batrachoididae. The transcript has 2 exons.
ACUACUAUUAUUCUGAACACUACUGUAUGCCGAGCACAGACAGAUGGACAGAUGCACGCACGCAAAGCCUUCACAAUACCCAAUGGCCAUAUUUUGAUGGUCUUGGGUAAAUAUGGUUUCUGCCCAAAUACGUAUGGACCUGACAGUAAUUAGUGGGAGCCAGGCUGUCGUUUUUGUAAGGUUUAAUAAAAGAUAAAUUUGCUAUUUUAUAGUCAAAAGCAUAGUUGAUGAUUUUUAUUUUUCCCCUCUUUGAUUAGUGUCUUUUUAAAUAGUAGUGUUUAACAGUCUUUGAAGAAAAACACUCAAGUUACAAAUCCUGUUUUAUUUACCCAUCAUAUAAUUCUGUGAAUUGUGAUGUGGAACAAGAAAAACAUCAAAACUAUAUUGAUAAUUUUACCAGCAAUUCCUCAUAGAUAUCAGGAUAUGAAAUGUUUCCCCUCCUCAUUAUUUACCUUUGUGUUUAAAUCUUUAUAAAGUAUUUCAGUUUGGCAGGAUAUCUUAAAAAUAAAACAAAAACAGUAAAGAAACCUGAGAAUUGGAUCAGAUAUUGCUGAAAACUGGAAUCAUUUUUAAAUGGGGUAGUAUACACCUUUUUUUUUUUUUUUUGCAAGCUACUACAACUGAGCAUAUGUCUUUUAAAUAAAUGUACAUUAAAGGGUUUGAGCCAAAAAUGACCCCACAGACACAGAGGUGGUGAUUAAAAUCUGUGCCUGUUGCUUUAAAUGGAAAGAAGCUGUUGCUUGCUCCAAGCAUGUCACACCACACCAUGUUUGCUGACACAGAGGGCGUGUCUUACAGGGCAAGCAGGAGUCCAGAUGUGGGCUUCCGUGGCAUGGGUCACAGAUGCCUAAAACAAGUCGUCCCAAAGCUUGCCCUGUCGAGCAGCAGUUAAACCCAUUUUUUUUGGAUUUAGCUCCAGUUAAAGAUAGCACUGCUUUUCUCAGGGUGACCGCCUGUAAAUUUAAUUUUGUAAUCCGGAGGCGGAGUCACGGCAGCAUACGUGCACUUCUGAAGAGAUUGUCACGUCUGCCGAUGAUUACCAGCUCUUGAGCUAUCGAUUCUGCAGCACGUCCUCUGGCCUCUGACACUGAACCAAUCACAGACGUACAUGGAAAACAGAUGGCCUCUUUCCACGUGCAUGUGAAGGUUUACCGGAGCUGAAUCUUCAGCUGAAGUCCGGCACGACUCUGUAGCCGGGGCUCCUGCUGCUGCCCGACUCGUUACCGCUGAGUGGUGUGAACACAGCGGGAAACAACAAAUGCAGUUGUAGCUGUUAGCACCUCUUCACGUCAGAGAUCAUAAGCUACCGUACUAUUUCUGAAAUGUUUUCGGAUCAUUUCAUCCUGGAUAAGCUCGAUCCCUUGUCCCUAGUCAUCCUCUCAAAAGCUUCACAAAGUGCCAACAGAAAGAACAGGAAACUGAAAUGAAAUUGCACUACGUAGCACUGUGCAGACACGUUUUUAUACAUGGAUGGUUUAUAUCCACAAAUUUUGAAGUGCAAAUUUUUUUUAAGCCGGGGGGGCUUGUCACUGCCCGGUGGAGUAAAUGGGGUUUCAGGGAUAAGGGUUUUUGUACCUCUGGGGUCCCCAUUAACAAGCGAUGUGGACAGUUGUGUCUGUGCUAAUGAUAGCUGCGGUUUUGUGGUACCGAGAAGUACAGCGCGGUACUGCGACCGUCGCUCACUUUGCCUUUCCAUAGAGGAGCACCAAUCAGUCGAAGUAAACAGCUACACGUAACAAACACUCGUUAGCAGCUUCCUCCCAACACUCUAUCCCGUAAAACUUUUUUCUGCUUUAUUUACCAACAUCUCGAAUUAUAUUACAUUUUACUGAGUUGAGCAAGUAACUGUGUAGAUGCUGUUACUAGUACAAGACACCACUUUAAAUACUGUCUUUUUUGUUGUUGUUGUUCUUGGUGGUUUGAUCUUUGAUAGAUUGUCGGAUGCAGCCCAUCGGGUCUCUGUCGACCCUCAUUGUAAGCACUUUUAGAUUCCAUCCGCAGGGUUACAGAUGGAUGUGUUUGCUGGCCUUGAUCAGGACUGUUACUGCACAUUAAGGGAGAAGUUACCUUUUUACAACCCUUCUCAUAAAAUAAAGUUAGUAACCAGCCCUCUGAGUACUGCGCUCACCUUGGAUAACUGUCCAUCUCUCUGCUGGAGCCGGGUGAAAUGUGGGUGUGCCUUUGGCCUCCUCCAGCCCCUGUUGUCCUAAACACUGAAACACCUGUGUGUUGGAUCAUCCACAGAGAAACACACCUCAUGUCCAAAACAUUCCCUCACAAUGCAAGUGAUACUCCUCAUGUGAGUCUCCCUAAGUACCACUUACUUGAUACAAAGUCUUUCUAGCGGUACACAAGGAUCUUCCAAUGGGACCCAGCACCACAGACAUCCAGUCAUCUUAGGUUGCUGGUUAGUGUCAGUUCAAUUCAGUUUAUUUUAUUUUAUUUAAAUAGCACCAAAUCACAACAACACUGCUUCAAGGUGCUUCACAUGUGUAAGGUCUAACCUUACAACCACUCCUGAGCAAGCGCACAGGUGACAGUGGUACGUGCUUAGUCUCAGCCUCCAGGUUUUGCAUAGAUAGGGUAUCCUGAGGUCAGUGUGUUUGUCAGUGCCUCAGACAGAGAGAAAAAGAGGAGAAUCAGUCGGCUAGAAAUAACUGUACCUAAGGCAUUAAUACACCAACAGUAAAUCAAGAGGGAAGCAAAGACAUUACGAAAGUGGUUGGAAACAGCUAGCCCUGUACUUCACUAACAGACCCAGAAUUUAGAUGUAGUGAGGCUGAGACCUGUUCCCUUGUUAAUAAUAUGAAUUAGUGUCCAAGUCUCACAAUCAUACAGUAAGAUGGGAAGCACCUGGGCCCUCAUUUAUCAACCGGUGUGUGUAGAAAAGGUUCUGCAUGUUGUCGCACAAAGUGUAGUAUGUGUCUAAGUACAAAAAAUCUAUCUAUUAAACAGAUGCAAGUCGGUCCUACUCUCAUCAUUAAGUAAAUCCCACGUCCAUAAAAUCUCUCCUUAUCAAAUUUGGACAGGAAAAAAAGAUGUGGGCGCAUUUUUAAUAUAAAAUUGCAGGAGGGAUACGAUUUGUUUCAUGCCAGUGUAGCAGGUUGGACUGUACACUUUGUCCAAAUAAUGGUGAUCAUCCACUCGUGCGCCACCAAUAUAUUUACAUUUCAGCAGCAGCAGUGGACUGAUGAAAUAUUAAACGCGUGACUUAGAUCUGAGUCGGGAAACUUUGAUUCACACCUUGUGGCAACAGGCAGCGAUUGAGAUGUUCAAUGUUAAAAGGUUUUAAUUAUUUUUAUUUAAAUAACAAAGUCAGAAGCUGCUGUUGAGUUCACACGUGUCUUUUGUACGUUUUGUCACCAAUGAGGCUACACGUCUGCUUCUAUCUCAACAUUAUUACUAUUUGUGUAGUUAUUAAUUUGAGGCAGUAAAGAAAGUAUGAGGUUGCAUGUUGUGAUGGCAGUAAUGGUUUCUAGUUGCAGUUCCCCUCUUCCACCACUAGAUGCUGUAUGUGUAAGCAUGGUCAGGACAGUGUAUAUUUUACACACAUUUCUAAAUGAAAGUACAAGUAGAUAAAUUCCAUGAAUUGCAUAGAAAUGUUCAAAAACACAGUUUAAGCACAAAUCUGUGUGCACUGUUGAUAAAUGAUGCUCCAAAGACCCAAUGGACUUGAACGUCUGCAUCACUAAACCCCUCUGUCCACUGACUUCUUGACUCCAUGAAGAUGUGUCUUGACCUUAAAGUCAGAACACCCAGAGACGUGACCAUCACUGCCGAGAUAAGUGAAUGUCUCUACAAGUCCAACAAUCCAGGAAAUCACGGCUCUUAGACAAUCACACACUCCAAUUUAAUUAGUCCCUGCAAAUAUUUAAUAAUAUCACCACUAAUAUAUGCUGUAAGUAAUCGUAAAAUUAUAGAGUGCAUUAAUAGUGACACUAUGCAGUUUUAAUGUUUGGUGUGAGUUCAUUUAAAGUGUGAUUCCAGCACUCAGAGGCUUGAUUACAAGCAGUAAUUUUAAUGGGAUUGAAACUGAAAAAAGGAACUUUUUGUUGAAAGUGACACGCCCUCAUCAGUGCCACAUGGUGCGUUCCAAACAGGAACGAUGUCAUGGGGCUGAAAACCAUCAUUUGUGGGUGCUAUUUCUCAUGUAAACAAUAAUGAGGGCAUGGCUUUAGGCUAAACAGCUUCCUGUGAUUGUCAGCAGCUUUGUCUCGUUAGUUGCACUAAACCGGCCUGUGACGACUGAGGCCGGAGCCCCGUCGCCAGGAGCUUGUUUGUAUGAACCGGAAAGAAUUCUAGAUAAAAAGCUGCUCUUGGGCACAAAUUUAAAACUUUCUGAAAAUUUCCAGCUUGAAUGUCUGGUGAAUUUUUGUUAUUAUUAUUAUUAUUGUUAUUAUUUUCCCCUUGUAAAAUUGAUGGACAAGUGCAGCUUCUACCUGGAAAACGUGACCUGGAGCUCGGAAUUGACCAUCGAUGGGCAUGCAGGGAAAAUGGAGAGUAAGAUUUGACGGGAAGCAGGCCGACUGCCACGAUGCGGAUGAAUGUGCAGUGUCAGGUUUUUCUUGUACAUAUGCAACAUUAAGAGCUGCAAGGCUUUUUUUCCUGUAUGUUUUCUUUGUUGUUGUAUUUCUGUUAUAUGAAAAGGAAUUUUUUUUAACAGUACCGUUUGCUCAGAAUAUGUUUUCCUUUUUUAAGUCCAUUGAGAAGCUAUAGUGAAUAUAACACGUAAUGAUUCAGUGUAUAUUGCAGCUUGUAGACAAAGGGGAGAAAAAGAAAACUUGUUGAAUGUAAAACCUAAAAAAGAAAAGUUUGUCUCUCUCUCGCCGUGGCUCGUUUGUUCUGUCUGUAGUGAAUCCGUAUCCGGAACUUUAAUCACUAACAGACAGUUGCUGCCGCUCUGCAAAAUAAUAAAUCCCACAACCAUGCAGUAUUGCUUUAUGUACUAGCUUACUUUGUGCAAUGAGAUGCUUUAUGUUGGAACAGUAUAUCUGUGACGUCGCUCACACGUUUCUCUCUCCCUGCCAAAAAGUCAUUUUCUCUGAAUAUGCGCGAUUAUCAAGUUGUUCGGCGGGAACACCUUUGACUUUUUGGGGGGGGGGGGUCAUGAUGGAAUCUUUUGGGGGGUAACAACCCUGCCCUGCACAUUCCAGCAGACAGCACACUUUAGUCUUCCACUUCUUUUGUUGUAGCCCCGUUUUGUUUUUUGUCUCCCCCACUACUGCAACGCUCCCAACGUCACGUCGUUUUCAGCUUUACUGUGGUCCCACACAAGCCUUUACCCAGUGUAUUAAGCUAAGUAAACCCUUCAAAUGUGCAUCAAACAGGCCUUGGUUUUGCCAAAUGUGUGCGCUGCUUUCAUCAGUGUCCGUGCGAAAGUGAGCAGUGGCAAAGCCGAGGGAUCUCCUUCCAAAUAUAAACGUAACGCAUCGCAAAGGCAGCUCCGCUUGAUUUUCUGCAUCUUUUACUGUGCUCUUAUUGUUUGUCCAGUUUUCACCUUUUACCCUUUUACUUCCUUUGCCCCAUGAUCCUUUUUGUCGUCAUGUUGUGUUUUUACUGGCUGGUGUGAAAACUGACUUUUUAUUUUUAUUUUUUUUUUUUCUUUCUUUCCUGUUUUGUUUGUUUUUGGGUCAUUGAUUGACUGGUUGACCUUGAGGUUGUUUUGCAUGUCUAGCAUCGCUCCUUUUUGUAAAAAAUUUUUUUUUUUUUAUUAGGAGACACAACACUGAAGGGUUUUAUGUGUUAGACUUCCCCUAUCAGCAGCUGAUGAUCUGAGGCCGAUUUAGCUGGUUUUCCUCUGAAUAUAAAAACGUACACACCAUGCUUAAAGCAUUUUGAGGGAACAGAGACAUCGGCUUUAGAUCAUCGCUGGAGGGAAGGAUUUCUCCUGCGUGUGGGCUCGGGCUCGGGCGUUCAUCAGCAGACCCACGCACAACGAGAAAGCACUUUGUGAGAAGUGGUGCACUCAAGGUGUGUUUGUGUGAAUGUCAAGCCUACAAGUAGCGCUUGAUAAGUUGGAUGACCAUGUAUGAUGCUGAUAAUGUGAUCUAUGUGAUGUAAUGUGACAGAAUGAAAAUAAACCUGAAUGGAAGAAUUCUGCA